GAGUGAGGAUGAGAUUGAGAGAGAGGAUGAGAGGGGAGGAUGGGAGGGAGUAAAAAAAGUGAAAACAAUUUCAAAUAGAUUUCAGUUUUCAGUUUUUGUUUUCACUUUUGUUACUCCUUCCUCCCAUCCUCCCUUCUCAUCUUCCCUCUCAAUCCCAUCUUCACUCU
This 167-nucleotide small nucleolar RNA is filed under the name Prunus dulcis (almond). Its description in RNAcentral is "sRNA ncRNA". Lineage: Eukaryota; Viridiplantae; Streptophyta; Magnoliopsida; Rosales; Rosaceae. The record is from RNAcentral.